RNAcentral lists this ribosomal RNA (253 nucleotides) under uncultured bacterium. Its description in RNAcentral is "partial 16S ribosomal RNA". It matches the Rfam family "Bacterial small subunit ribosomal RNA", at positions 524 to 776 of the family's 1533-position model. The record is from RNAcentral.
UACAGAGGUCUUAAGCGUUGUUCGGAUUCAUUGGGCGUAAAGGGUGCGUAGGCGGCGCGGUAAGUCGGAUGUGAAAUCUCGGAGCUUAACUUCGAAACUGCAUUCGAUACUGCCGUGCUUGAGGACUGGAGAGGAGACUGGAAUUUACGGUGUAGCGGUGAAAUGCGUAGAUAUCGUAAGGAAGACCAGUGGCGAAGGCGGGUCUCUGGACAGUUCCUGACGCUGAGGCACGAAGGUCAGGGGAGCAAACGGG